RNAcentral lists this ribosomal RNA (1124 nucleotides) under halophilic bacterium NAHalo1. Its description in RNAcentral is "bacterial SSU rRNA". It matches the Rfam family "Bacterial small subunit ribosomal RNA", at positions 71 to 1233 of the family's 1533-position model. The record is from RNAcentral.
UUACAGGCUUGCUCUGGUGGAUAGUGGCGAACGGGUGAGUAACACGUGAGCAACCUGCCCCUGACUCUGGGAUAAGCGCUGGAAACGGCGUCUAAUACUGGAUAUGUCCCAUCACCGCAUGGUGUGUGGGUGGAAAGAUUUUUCGGUUGGGGAUGGGCUCGCGGCCUAUCAGCUUGUUGGUGAGGUAAUGGCUCACCAAGGCGUCGACGGGUAGCCGGCCUGAGAGGGUGACCGGCCACACUGGGACUGAGACACGGCCCAGACUCCUACGGGAGGCAGCAGUGGGGAAUAUUGCACAAUGGGCGGAAGCCUGAUGCAGCAACGCCGCGUGAGGGAUGACGGCCUUCGGGUUGUAAACCUCUUUUAGCAGGGAAGAAGCGAGAGUGACGGUACCUGCAGAAAAAGCACCGGCUAACUACGUGCCAGCAGCCGCGGUAAUACGUAGGGUGCAAGCGUUAUCCGGAAUUAUUGGGCGUAAAGAGCUCGUAGGCGGUCUGUCGCGUCUGCUGUGAAAUUCCGAGGCUCAACCUCGGGCUUGCAGUGGGUACGGGCAGACUAGAGUGCGGUAGGGGAGAUUGGAAUUCCUGGUGUAGCGGUGGAAUGCGCAGAUAUCAGGAGGAACACCGAUGGCGAAGGCAGAUCUCUGGGCCGUAACUGACGCUGAGGAGCGAAAGGGUGGGGAGCAAACAGGCUUAGAUACCCUGGUAGUCCACCCCGUAAACGUUGGGAACUAGUUGUGGGGUCCUUUCCACGGAUUCCGUGACGCAGCUAACGCAUUAAGUUCCCCGCCUGGGGAGUACGGCCGCAAGGCUAAAACUCAAAGGAAUUGACGGGGACCCGCACAAGCGGCGGAGCAUGCGGAUUAAUUCGAUGCAACGCGAAGAAACUUACCAAGGCUUGACAUACACGAAAACGGCCAAAAAAUGGUCAACUCUUUGGACACUCUGAACAGGGGUGCAUGUUGUCGUCACUCUGCCGAAAUGUUGGUUAAGUCCUAACGAGGGCAACCCUCUUUCUAUGUGCCAUACCUAAUGGUGGACUCAUGGGAUACUGCGGGUCAACUCGAGAGGGGGGAUGACUUAAUCAUCAUGCCCUUAUGCUUGGNGUACCCAAUGCUAAAAUUG